AGAACGAACGCUGGCGGCGUGGAUUAGGCAUGCAAGUCGAACGAGAAAGGCAUCUUCGGAUGCUAAGUACAGUGGCAAACGGGUGAGUAACGCGUGGGAAACCUGCCCUUUGGUUGGGGACAACACUUCUAACGAGGUGCUAAUACCGAAUUCUGUCAUCAGAUCGCAUGUUCUGGUGAUGAAAGGCGGCCUCUACAUGUAAGCUGUCGCCAAAGGAUGGUCCCGCGUUCCAUUAGCUUGUUGGUGAGGUAACGGCUCACCAAGGCAAUGAUGGAUAGCCGGCCUUAGCGGGUGACCGGCCACACUGGGACUGAGAUACGGCCCAGACUUCUACGGAAGGCAGCAGUCGAGAGGCUUCCACAAUGGGGGAAACCCUGAUGGAGCGACGCCGCGUGGGUGAUGAAGGUUUUCGGAUCGUAAAGCCCUUUCGACAGGGACGAACGGCAUGGGGGUUAAUAUCUCCCAAGCAAAGACGGUACCUGUAAAAGAAGCUCCGGCUAACUCCGCGCCAGCAGCCGCGGUAAGACGGAGGGAGCAAGCGUUGUUCGGAUUUACUGGGCGUAAAGGGCGUCUAGGCGGAGAUGCAAGUCAGAUGUGAAAUCCAUCGGCUUAACCGGCGAACUGCAUUUGAAACUGCAUUUCUUGAGUACGGUAGAGGAGGGCGGAAUUCCUGGUGUAGCGGUGAAAUGCGUAGAUAUCAGGAAGAACACCGGUGGCGAAGGCGGCUCUCUGGACCGAUACUGACGCUGAAGCGCGAAAGUGUGGGGAGCGAACAGGAUUAGAUACCCUGGUAGUCCACACUGUAAACGAUGGAUACUAGGUGUCGGGGGCUCGACCCCUCCGGUGCCGGAGUUAACGCAUUAAGUAUCCCGCCUGGGGAAUACGGUCGCAAGGCUGAAACUCAAAGGAGUUGACGGGGACCCGCACAAGCGGUGGAGCAUGUUGCUUAAUUCGACGCAACGCGAAGAACCUUACCGGGGUUUGACGUGUACCUGACAGGCCUGGAGACAGGUCCUCCUUCGGGCAGGUACAUCAGGUGCUGCAUGGCUGUCGUCAGCUCGUGUCGUGAGAUGUUGGGUUAAGUCCUGCAACGAGCGCAACCCCUAUCCACAGUUGCCAUCGGGUAAUGCCGGGAACUCUGCGGAGACUGCCGGUGAUAAACCGGAGGAAGGUGGGGAUGACGUCAAGUCAUCAUGGCCCUUACGU
This 1206-nucleotide ribosomal RNA is filed under the name uncultured organism. RNAcentral's name for it is "bacterial SSU rRNA". It matches the Rfam family "Bacterial small subunit ribosomal RNA", at positions 26 to 1207 of the family's 1533-position model. The record is from RNAcentral.